This 433-nucleotide ribosomal RNA is filed under the name uncultured bacterium. Its description in RNAcentral is "partial 16S ribosomal RNA". It matches the Rfam family "Bacterial small subunit ribosomal RNA", at positions 28 to 507 of the family's 1533-position model. The record is from RNAcentral.
GACGAACGCUGGCGGCAGGCCUAACACAUGCAAGUCGAGCGGACCUUUCGGGGUCAGCGGCGGACGGGUGAGUAACGCGUGGGAAUAUGCCCUUCUCUACGGAAUAGUCCUGGGAAACUGGGGGUAAUACCGUAUACGCCCUUUGGGGGAAAGAUUUAUCGGGGAAGGAUUAGCCCGCGUUGGAUUAGGUAGUUGGUGGGGUAAUGGCCUACCAAGCCGACGAUCCAUAGCUGGUUUGAGAGGAUGAUCAGCCACACUGGGACUGAGACACGGCCCAGACUCCUACGGGAGGCAGCAGUGGGGAAUCUUAGACAAUGGGGGCAACCCUGAUCGAGCCAUGCCGGGUGAGUGAUGAAGGCCUUAGGGUUGUAAAGCUCUUUCAGCUGGGAAGAUAAUGACGGUACCAGCAGAAGAAGCCCCGGCUAACUCCGUG